Molecule: transfer RNA, 69 nt
Filed under: Ovis aries (sheep)
Lineage: Eukaryota; Metazoa; Chordata; Mammalia; Artiodactyla; Bovidae
Rfam family: tRNA
About the family: Transfer RNA (tRNA) molecules are approximately 80 nucleotides in length. Their secondary structure includes four short double-helical elements and three loops (D, anti-codon, and T loops).
Source: Rfam by way of RNAcentral
CCUGGUAGCUCAGUUGGUAAAGAAUCUGCCUGCAAUGCAGGAGGCCCUGGUUCGAUUCCUGGGUCAGGA